UGCUAGGAAGCUAAACCGGACUCAGCAUCAGCCCUUUAAGCUGAAAAUUGGUGACUUCCAACCACCCCUAGUGU
RNAcentral lists this transfer RNA (74 nucleotides) under Amblychaeturichthys hexanema. Its description in RNAcentral is "tRNA-Lys". RNAcentral also lists the same sequence under 1 other name. Lineage: Eukaryota; Metazoa; Chordata; Actinopteri; Gobiiformes; Gobiidae. The record is from RNAcentral.